AUCACUCGGCUCGUGGAUCGAUGAAGACCGCAGCUAAAUGCGCGUCACAAUGUGAACUGCAGGACACAUGAACAUUGAUAAGUUGAACGCAUAUUGCACGUCGUGGGAACCUACCAUGAUGUACACAUACUUGAGCGCUUAUAUUUGGGAGUUACAAACACAAUACACUACGCCGUGAUUGGUGCCGGUCACCACGUCAUUGGUCGUGCAUAAUGAUGUAAGAUGGGCCACGCCGGUCCGCUUGCAUUGAAGAACUGCGGUGUAAAGCCUCUUUAUCAAACAAGUAGUAGCGUGUUCCUGCGGACGGAGGAAAUACCCAUGCAAGGCGCGUCUUGUUGCUGUGUUAGGUGGACAGGUGUCUUCCUCUUCUAUUAUUUUUAAUUGAGGUAAGAUUACCAACGUUUUAUCGAGACAGUGGGCAGGACGCAAAUGAAGUGGCCGUAUGGAAACCUUACAAGGGAACACUAAACGCACCAUAAACACUACCCAGCGUUGAGCAGUGGUGGAGCAUCGCAAACACAAUCAUCAAUUAUCACUUCGAAACAUAGUGAGACCACUGGCUGGUCAAAUAAGCCUCAAGUUAUGUGUGACUACCCCCUAAAUUUAAGCAU
Molecule: ribosomal RNA, 611 nt
Filed under: Anopheles hyrcanus
Lineage: Eukaryota; Metazoa; Arthropoda; Insecta; Diptera; Culicidae
Description: eukaryotic LSU rRNA
Rfam family: 5.8S ribosomal RNA (bases 1-140)
Source: RNAcentral